CCUGCUUCUUUUCAAAGAAAAGUGGACCAAAAGAAGUCCCUUGUCCCCUGAAGGGACAGGGUGUUUGGGCUGUGUUUUUACCGACCUCAGUGGAAUCUACUCCAAAUAGAGCACCACAAGAUGCAGUCUCACUAUGAGACUGCCUUUCUCUUCUAUACAACCAAUUCAUGUAGCUAUUUGAAUAAAUUUCAAUAACUUUGGAACGGUGAAGAGCACAUUGUAUACAUCUGCAGAUCUGGGAUAAAAGCAGCCUGAACAAGAAGGGAAGGCCAACUCACUUGGGGAGGAAUGUACUCCUGAAAUUGAGGAGCCAAGAGAAACCACACAUAAGGAUCAGCUGCUGCUUUUAUAUUUGCCAGAGAGCCCUCUGUGGAGAAAACUGGAAGAGGACGGGAUCAAAUACCCAAGGUUGGCCUUGGGAAAAUUAGAAUACACUACAGUUGUACCUUCCAAAUCAAGAGUCAAGUUCUCCUAUGCAUGAACUCAGGCAGAAACCAGCUAACCAGAAAGAGGCCCACAUGUCAACAAGUAUCAAUAGAAAAAAGAUGUAACAAGACAGUUCUGCUCCUGGCACUUCUUUUGGAUGAUCCCAAGCAAGUUCCUUCUCUCUCUUGAAUGGCUUCUUUACAACGGAAAAUGGAGGGAAAAGUCAUCUAGGUGAACUAGAAGCACACAUUUCAAAUAGACCAGAUGAACUGGGUCCUGGCCCAUGGAUAACACGAGACACAGCAUUCAAGGGCAGGCUGUCCGGUGAGUAGGUUUGAUGCUUGGGUGACACCACCACACACCUAUACAUAAUUCCCAAACUGCUGCCCUGUGCAGAGUAGCAUAACUGGGCUGUAAAUUGUACCCAGGGCAUUAGUGUUUCA
Molecule: long non-coding RNA, 869 nt
Organism: Pipra filicauda (Wire-tailed manakin)
Lineage: Eukaryota; Metazoa; Chordata; Aves; Passeriformes; Pipridae
Exons: 6
Source: RefSeq, a predicted model, not a curated record